RNAcentral lists this ribosomal RNA (511 nucleotides) under uncultured bacterium. RNAcentral describes it as "partial 16S ribosomal RNA". It matches the Rfam family "Bacterial small subunit ribosomal RNA", at positions 28 to 507 of the family's 1533-position model. The record is from RNAcentral.
GACAAACGCUGGCGGCAUGCCUAACACAUGCAAGUCGAACGGACAGAACAGGGAAGCUUUUCGGAGUGGAACUGGAAAGUUAGUGGCGGAUGGGUGAGUAACGCGUGGACAACCUACCUUGUAAAGGGGAAUAACCUCGAGAAAUCGAAGCUAAUACCCCAUAAUAACCUUGCUUCGCAUGAAGUAAGGAGGAAAGGCGUCCUUAGCGCUGUCGAUACAAGAUGGGUCCGCGUCUGAUUAGCUAGUUGGUGAGGUAAAGGCUCACCAAGGCGACGAUCAGUAGCCGGCCUGAGAGGGUGAACGGCCACAUUGGGACUGAGACACGGCCCAAACUCCUACGGGAGGCAGCAGUGGGGAAUCUUCCGCAAUGGGCGAAAGCCUGACGGAGCAAUGCCGCGUGAGUGAAGAAGGCCUUCGGGUUGUAAAACUCUGUCCUUAUCGAAGAGAGAGUGUUGUAGUAACUGACAAUACUAGGACGGUAGAUGAGGAGGAAGCCCCGGCUAACUAUGUG